ACGCUCGACACCUACGGGAGGCGGCAGUGGGGAAUAUUGCACAAUGGGGGAAACCCUGAUGCAGCGACGCCGCGUGAAGGAUGAAGUAUUUCGGUAUGUAAACUUCUAUCAGCAGGGAAGAAAGUGACGGUACCUGACUAAGAAGCCCCGGCUAACUACGUGCCAACAGCCGCGGUAAUCUGAGCGGGCUGGCAAGGC
RNAcentral lists this ribosomal RNA (198 nucleotides) under uncultured bacterium. RNAcentral's name for it is "partial 16S ribosomal RNA". It matches the Rfam family "Bacterial small subunit ribosomal RNA", at positions 328 to 539 of the family's 1533-position model. The record is from RNAcentral.